UGGCGUGCUCACCACUGCAUUGUCGAACGCGAAGCCCUUCGGGGGCAUGUAGAGUGGCGCACGGGUGAUACCUAGGUAAUCUACCUUUGGAUUGGGAAUAACAAUCGGAAACGGUUGCUAAUACCGAAUAAUGCAGCGGCACCUAAUGGUGACAGUUGUUAAAGCGGGGGAUCGCAAGACCUCGCGUCUAAAGAGGAGCCUGCGGCGGAUUAGCUAGUUGGUAGGGUAACGGCUUACCAAGGCGAUGAUCCGUAGCCGGCCUGAGAGGGCGGUCGGCCACACUGACACUGACAUACGGGUCAGACUCCUACGGGAGGCAGCAGUCGGGAAUUUUGGGCAAUGGGCGAAAGCCUGACCCAGCAACGCCGCGUGAAGGAUGAAAUCCUUCGGGAUGUAAACUUCGCAAGAACGGGAAGAAUAAAGUAAGGGUUAAUAUCUCUUACGAUGACGGUACUGUUUGUAAGCUCCGGCUAACUCCGUGCCAGCAGCCGCGGUAAUACGGGGGGAGCAAGCGUUGUUCCGGAUUUACUGGGCGUAAAGGGCGCGUAGGCGGCCACCGCAAGUCGACUGUGAAAUCUCCGGGCUUAACCCGGAACGGUCAGCCGAUACUGCGGGGCUAGAGUGCAGAAGGGGCAACUGGAAUUCUCGGUGUAGC
This 655-nucleotide ribosomal RNA is filed under the name uncultured soil bacterium. Its description in RNAcentral is "bacterial SSU rRNA". It matches the Rfam family "Bacterial small subunit ribosomal RNA", at positions 40 to 679 of the family's 1533-position model. The record is from RNAcentral.